ACCGGGCGGGCGGCCCUCCGAGUGUGGCCGAGUCGGGACCCUGUUCCCCGUCCCCACUGCGGGGUCCCGCCCGGGCGAGGGAAGCGGAGGGGCAGGGCCUCGGGGGCGCGUGCCGAGUGCGGGCCUGCGCUCCGGCGUCCGCCUCCGAGUUCGGAGCCGGGCCGGUGGUGGUUCCUCCCGGAUCUUCCGAGAAAUCGGGGAAACGCACCUGCAGCCGCUCCCCGUCCGGACCUCACAGUAACUCGCCCUUAGGAAAGGCCUCCGUGUGCGUGUCUGUUUGGAGGGACGGACCAUUCUUUGUCUCUGAUCCUUUGUCCCCAUCCUCCUGUGAUAGGCCUUACAGUGGUGGAGGUCUCUGAUCCUUUGUCCCCAUCCACCUGUGAUAAGCCUUAGAGUGGUGGAGGUCUCUGAUCCUUUGUCCCAUCUACCUGUGAUAGGCCUUAGAGUGGUGGAGGUCUCUGAUCCUUUGUCCCCAUUCUCCUGUGAUAAGCCUUAGAGUGGUGGAGGUCUCUGAUCCUUUGUCCCCAUCCACCUGUGAUAAGUCUUAGGGUGAUGGAGGUCUCUGAUCCUUUGUCCCCAUCCUCCUGUGAUAAGCCUUAGGGUGAUGGAGGUCUCUGAUCCUUUGUCCCCAUCCUCCUGUGAUAAGCCUUAGGGUGAUGGAGGUCUCUGAUCCUUUGUCCCCAUCCUCCUGUGAUAGGCCUUAGAGUGGUGGAAGUCUCUGAUCCUUUGUCCCCAUCCUCCUGUCCUAGUCAUAGAGUGAUGGAGGAGCAAAUAAGCUCUGGGUUUGGGGUGCUCUGUCAGCUUCCUGCUGAGUGGGCCGUUCCCCAGGCCCGGGGAGGCGGGGGCCGCUCCACAAAGAACAGUGGGAUCCUGAAGCAGGAGGAGGGAGAAGCCUCCUGGUCUUUAUGGAAGAAACGAGCUGGUGGGUCAGGGCUUCGCUGGGAGGACUCCGGAUCCUCAGGGUCCCCUAGCUCCACAGGACGUCUCCACCGCCUCUUAAAGCCUCCUUGGAGAUUCAGGAAAUUGUCCGUGGUCUGACAGUCACACUGAACCCUCGAGCUGGCCUUGCUACUGGACUUAGGACUUUUACGAAAAGGAAUUAAGACAAAUCUCCCUUAAAUUUAAUUUUGUGUUCUCACAACGUGAAAGAGCUGUUGGAAAUGAAUUUCGGUCUGUUGGAAAUGCAUUGAGAUUUGGGAUCUAAAAGGUUAAGGACCAUUUUGAAGGCCUGGUUGUAGUUGUCAUUGUUCUGUACGAGGUGAGACCCUAGGAAAGGAGCAACCAUCGGGUAGGAAAAAGCUGUUUGAGACCCGUGCGUGGAUCGACCUGAAGGAGUUAUUACAGCCUCCCAGGAGAAUUCCUUGAUUCACGUUAAUGUCUGUGCCUCCCUUGGGUAGCAAGGAGGAAGAGUGAGAAAGGGACCCAUCACAUUCAGGUUACUACUUGAAUAAAGUCGAGGGUCCCGUGCCUUCUCUGAAUGAUACCCAACCUUCUCGUGCCCCAAAUGCAUGUCUGGCACCUUCCUAUGAGAGGUGGACCUUGGCUCUUGUUUAAACCAUGCAACAACAGCCCCACUUUGGUGCUAAUCCCUUCAGCCCUAGACACUGUCAUGGUCCCAUCCAGCAAAGUCAGUUAGAAACUCCUUGAGGUCUUUUUAAAGUUCUAGUCUCUCGUUUCAUGUUUUUUGAGUCUUGAAAUAAAAAAUUAAGCAGAAGUGCAGAAUUUUGUGUUUGCUCUAGGCCACUGAUGGGAAUACUUUACUGGUAAGGUGCUGUGGGCGUGCGUGCUGGGAGACACAGAAGGGCCUCGGUACCGUGGUCUAGGAGGACGGCGCAGGACGCACAGCUUGCCAGCUGUAGGAUGUGGUGGACAGGGUUGGAUCAAGUCUGAAGCUGAAUGCGGUGCUUUGGACCCUUUGGAGGCCGUUUGUGUUUUUAAAUAGCCUGAUUCCUUAUGUUUAUUUAAAACUAUAGAAAUUCACCUCCUUCAGUAACCUAUUUUUAGAUGGAGGAUGGUGACCCAUUUCUCAGAUACUGUACCUUGCUGCUCUCCUUUCCUCUUCUUGUGGCCUUCAACAAGUUAUUUUUGCCCUUGGGUCCAGAGCGCCUCCUGUCUGUUACGCUGUCUGAAUCUCGGGGGUUUCAUUAACGUGGUCAGGCGUUUCUUCUCCACUAGCCAUUGCCUGUCUUUACGUGCGAAUCCAGCACCUGGCUUCCCAGCCAGCAUUUAGCCAUCUGACUGAUGAAACUGCCGGGACGUUGCCCCUGCUGUUAGAACCCCCUGCAGGCCGAGGGUCAUAUCAAGCAUUUUAUGAACACAGUAAUUAAAAAGACUGGAAAGGUUAUGAACUGCCAAAGAUCUCGUCCGUCAAAGUCUGAUGUUCUCUACUCAGCUUCUUCAACUCGCUUUCGUUUGACGUAUGUAUAGCGUAAGCACUGUCACCUGCGAAGGGAGCCCCUCCAGGAUCCAGACGCACUCCUGGGCAUGUGGCGGGCACUGAGCCGAGGGGAAGGCGGCCACGCUCGGAAAAA
Molecule: non-coding RNA, 2531 nt
Organism: Equus caballus (horse)
Lineage: Eukaryota; Metazoa; Chordata; Mammalia; Perissodactyla; Equidae
Source: RefSeq, a predicted model, not a curated record